Molecule: RNA transcript, 2409 nt
Organism: Tripterygium wilfordii
Lineage: Eukaryota; Viridiplantae; Streptophyta; Magnoliopsida; Celastrales; Celastraceae
Gene name: putative AP2/ERF and B3 domain-containing protein Os01g0140700
Exons: 5
Source: RefSeq, a predicted model, not a curated record
GCAUCUUAUCGCCAACACUAUAAUUUGUCUACUGAACCAGUGAACGUGUAUCCCAUGCUUGACGCAGCCAUAUCCUAUCUUUUGACAUAAAAAAACAAAACUUGUGGACCCACCACCAGCCAACAUGAUCUGUGAUCGAACGAUUGAUAUUUUUUCUCCAAUAAAUAAAUUAAAGUAAUAAACAGUCGGGCCGUAAAACAGACCAUUCCCCGCUCACACAUCUCCUCCACGUGUAGCUUAGCCAAUAAUGGAGUUGCCGCAACGUCGCAGUCCCUCUCUGGCUCUCUCACCCGUCUUCUUCCCCGUCUUCUUCUCUAGCAUCACAUGUUGUUGUGCAUAUCAAAUCAUGUCGUCCUUUAAAUUUCCUUACCAGUCAGUCUCAACUCUCAACUUCACCGAAUCGAAAGAGGAUUAGAACGGCGUUGGUAUCGUAUGUAUGAUGUAUCUAGAGAGAGAAGAAGAAUACAAACCCUAGAUUUUUCUUUUUCUGCGUCCGUGCCAUUGGAAUUGGUGUUUUUUUUCACAGAUCUCUAGCAAGAAAUAGAGAGAGAGAGAGAGAGAGGAGGGAAACAGAAAGACUGACAGAAGAGAGUGAGCACAGACGGGCAAUUGUACAUAAUCUAUUCUUUUCAUUUGCCGGUGCGUGCUCAUUUCUCUUUCUGUCAGCUUCAUUGUUCACUUUCCUCAACGAACAACGAUACAUGCAUUUACAGGUGUCCUCUCGCCCUUUCUAUCCAAACAGCUGUCGCUUCCAUAAUUCUUUCUCCAAUCGCAAAAUGGGUAGUACAAGAUGGUAAUCGAGGUGUUGACAUGUGGAUCCGGAAGAGGCAAGUCUGCUGCGACGACCAAACAGUGCAAAUUAAAGCGACUACUACACUUCGCUAUUCUGUGGUGGAGCUGGGGAGUGCUCAACAACAGUUGUACCUUUUUUCAGGAAAAAAGAUUAUCUAGGGUUUUUUUAAUGGCACUUUUUCUUCUUCAUUGAUUGAUGUUGUUCUAGAAUUCCAAGGGGCUAAUAAAGGGCCGUUUGGUUUGCUGUGGUAUCGUAUAUUCAUAUCACGCUAAAUCUGACCCCGAUUUUUUUUUUCUCGUCUAUCUCAUCCCCGAUAGGGUUUUGCAUAUAUAUAUAUAUAUAUAUAUAUAUAUAUAUAUAUAUAUAUAUCAGAUUAUUUCAAGUUUGGAAUACUGUUUCGGGCUUCUCGAUUUGGAUUUUGUUGACACGGAAGAAGAAGUGUGUGCGUUGCUUUUGGAAAUGAAUGUGCUGGAGUUGAUUUCACGGAUAAGGGAAGAACAUUUUGUUUCCUCUUCGUCUGGAGAUCGUACGAGCUGUUUGGCGGUCAUGGACACGGUUUGGGCGGAUUUCCUUGUAGAGCUUCUAUUUGCUGCAGCAGCUUAUGAUCUCUAUCAGAGGUCUUGGCGAGGCAGCUAGCUAAGAAUUGGUGAUAAUAGCAACUGUGUUAUAAUAAUGGGUACUUGAAGUUCAAUGGUUAUAGUAUCAGUGGCUGCCGUGGAUGCAUAAUGUUGAAAGGGAUCAUGCAAGAGUUUCAACAGUCGCAACUCACAAGGGAUCUGAUUUCCAAUGGAAGAAGACAUGCAGUGCAUGAUUUCAAAUAGCGAAGUUUCGUAUUCAAAUAGCAGCACCCACCAGUUUCCUGCAAGCAAACGAGGAAGGUGUGGUGGCAGCACUUCAAAAUUCAAAGUUGUGGUACCACAGCAAAAAUGGUCAUUGGGUGCACAAAUAUAUGCUAAUCACCAAAAAAUCUGGCUUGGAACUUUCAAAGCUGUGAAGGAGGCACCUAUGGCUUAUGAUAGCGCAGCAGUCAAACUCCGGAGUUGAGGUAACAUUGUGCAAAUGUGCAAGGCUAGUCAUUCCCAAAUUGUGCAAGCCGAAGUUAGUCUUAAUGUGGCGACAGCAUGUGGCAAUGGAGGUGUAUUGGUCAAACAAAUUUUUCGAAAGGAGAUCGUUCCAAGUGAUGUUGGUAAACUGAAUUCAAGGCUAGUCAUCCCCAAUAUAUCUCAAAAUGCAGAAGAAUUUAUGAUUGAUGGGAAGGCGGAUGACAUUCUGCUAGUUUUCUAUGACCAGGUCGAUGAGGCAAUGGAAAUUUAGGUAUUGUUACUGGAGGAGCAUUCUGAGUUUUAUGUUCACUGCAGUUGAAGGCUGGCCAAUGACAAUCACAUAAAAUAUUAAUUGGCCGAGGCACAAGCAUUUUUCAUGAUUGGAAUUUGGAGCGGACAAGGUUGAAAGCAGCAAUGUUACCGCAACCCUGAAGAUGCAAAACCAGCGUGUUGAGACUCUUAACUCAAGUUGAAUUGCAGAUGGCUCAAUAGGAUGAGGAAUCAAAUGGAGUCGUUAUGUAGGAAGCAUGCAUAUAAUCAUCAGAUUAUUAGAGGUUUGGAUUUGCCGGCGAA